GACAGAGGCCCCAAGCGUUAGGCGGAAUCACUGGGCGUAAAGCGUGUGUAGGCGGAUCGUUAAGUGUCUUGUGAAAUCCCACGGCUCACCCGUGGAACUGCUGGGCAUACUGGCGAUCUUGGGCCAACUAGGGGCAGUCGGAACAUGCGGUGGAGCGGUGAAAUGCGUAGAUAUCGCGUGGAACGCCGAAGGUGAAAGCAGACUGCUGGGGUUGCGCCGACGCUGAGACACGAAAGCCAGGGGAGCAAACGGG
Molecule: ribosomal RNA, 253 nt
Filed under: uncultured bacterium
Lineage: Bacteria
Description: partial 16S ribosomal RNA
Rfam family: Bacterial small subunit ribosomal RNA
Source: RNAcentral